UACGUAGGGUGCAAGCGUUAAUCGGAAUUACUGGGCGUAAAGCGUGCGCAGGCGGUUGUGUAAGACAGAUGUGAAAUCCCCGGGCUCAACCUGGGAACUGCAUUUGUGACUGCACAGCUGGAGUGCGGCAGAGGGGGAUGGAAUUCCGCGUGUAGCAGUGAAAUGCGUAGAUAUGCGGAGGAACACCGAUGGCGAAAGCAGGGUCCUGGACUCGUACUGACGCUGAGGCGCGAAAGCCAGGGGAGCGAACGGG
Molecule: ribosomal RNA, 253 nt
Filed under: uncultured bacterium
Lineage: Bacteria
Description: partial 16S ribosomal RNA
Rfam family: Bacterial small subunit ribosomal RNA
Source: RNAcentral